GACGAACGCUGGCGGCACGCCUAACACAUGCAAGUCGAACGGACUUAAAAGAGCUUGCUUUUUUAAGUUAGUGGCGGACGGGUGAGUAACACGUGAGCAACCUGCCUCUGAGAGGGGGAUAGCUUCUGGAAACGGAUGGUAAUACCCCAUAAAAUAUAAUUAUCGCAUGAUAGAUAUAUCAAAGAAAUUCGCUCAGAGAUGGGCUCGCGUCUGAUUAGAUAGUUGGUGAGGUAACGGCUCACCAAGUCGACGAUCAGUAGCCGGACUGAGAGGUUGAACGGCCACAUUGGGACUGAGACACGGCCCAGACUCCUACGGGAGGCAGCAGUGGGGAAUAUUGCACAAUGGAGGGAACUCUGAUGCAGCGAUGCCGCGUGGAGGAAGAAGGUUUUCGGAUUGUAAACUCCUUUUAUCAGGGACGAUAAUGACGGUACCUGAAGAAAAAGCUCCGGCUAACUACGUG
RNAcentral lists this ribosomal RNA (463 nucleotides) under uncultured bacterium. RNAcentral describes it as "partial 16S ribosomal RNA". It matches the Rfam family "Bacterial small subunit ribosomal RNA", at positions 28 to 507 of the family's 1533-position model. The record is from RNAcentral.